This 406-nucleotide ribosomal RNA is filed under the name uncultured bacterium. RNAcentral's name for it is "partial 16S ribosomal RNA". It matches the Rfam family "Bacterial small subunit ribosomal RNA", at positions 29 to 526 of the family's 1533-position model. The record is from RNAcentral.
AUUGAACGCUGGCGGCAGGCUUAACACAUGCAAGUCGAACGCGUGGCGGACGGGUGAGUAAUGUCUGGGACACUGCCCGAUGGUGGGGGCUACCUACUGGAAACGGUAGCUAAUACCGCAUUCCAUCGGAUGUGCCCAGAUGGGAUUAGCUAGUUGGUGGGGUAACGGCUCACCUAGGCGACGAGCCCUAGCUGGUCUGAGAGGAUGACCAGAAACACGGGAACGGAGACACGGGCCAGAGUCCUACGGGAGGAAGCAGGGGGGAAGAGGGAACAAUGGGAGCAAGCCGGAGGAAGCCAUGCCGCGUGGAGGAAGAAGGCAGUCGGGUUGUAAAGUACUAGCAGCGAGGAGGCGUUACUCGCAGAAGAAGCACCGGCUAACUCCGUGCCAGCAGCCGCGGUAAUUC